This is a long non-coding RNA of Gasterosteus aculeatus aculeatus (three-spined stickleback), 719 nucleotides long. NCBI's taxonomy places the organism in Eukaryota, Metazoa, Chordata, Actinopteri, Perciformes, Gasterosteidae. The record is from Ensembl.
CAGGGCUUUAGAUUUGAGUUUUCAGAAAGAACGAGAGUUUUUGUUUAUCUUCUUUCUGAGAAUGACCAUGUGAUAAAUGGGUUAAUGCCCUUGAGAGAUGUCUAUUAUCAGGAAUAAAUGGGCUGUGCGGAGGUCACGACAGGAGAAAGUCAACUCGUUCUUGGUGAUUGCAGUGAGCAAUCUAGAAGCACUUAAGGAUCUUCUCCUCUGCUUUCCACACAAACGACUGUUUCAGCUCCCGGCUGGCAGGUGUUGCAAGUGGAUAAAGGAGGGAAAACCUCAAAGUGGCACUUCAGGUGGAGGUUAAGUCUCGCAUCAAACAGAGCGGUGUGGGAGCUUUAUACUCAUGCCAAAAAAUUAUAACUCACAAGUACAAAAAAACAUUGCAACAGGUAACAGGGAGUUCAACCAGAUGCUCUUUAGAAAUACAGUAGAUUUGUCUCCAUAUCUGGUAUAUUACACUUCUCAUGCACUGAUUUGACACCAUACUUAUACAUGUGUUAAACCAACUAAUUACUACAGCUUGUUGCUGUCAAAUUGGUGUGACAUCAGUGUAUUAAUUCAUCCAGCAGAGAUGUGACAUGAUGGAUGAGUGAAGGGACAUGAGGUUACAGAGCAUCAGGUCCUGUGUACAAGUAGUCCUGACUGUCCUCAUUAAGGGCUCCAUCCUUAUAGCCUCAAUCCCUUUCUUGAACCUUGUCCCUAAAAUAAAAAUACAA